Molecule: ribosomal RNA, 497 nt
Filed under: uncultured bacterium
Lineage: Bacteria
Description: partial 16S ribosomal RNA
Rfam family: Bacterial small subunit ribosomal RNA
Source: RNAcentral
GAUGAACGCUGGCGGCGUGCCUAAUACAUGCAAGUCGAGCGAACAGACGAGGAGCUUGCUCCUCUGACGUUAGCGGCGGACGGGUGAGUAACACGUGGAUAACCUACCUAUAAGACUGGGAUAACUUCGGGAAACCGGAGCUAAUACCGGAUAAUAUAUUGAACCGCAUGGUUCAAUAGUGAAAGACGGUUUUGCUGUCACUUAUAGAUGGAUCCGCGCCGCAUUAGCUAGUUGGUAAGGUAACGGCUUACCAAGGCAACGAUGCGUAGCCGACCUGAGAGGGUGAUCGGCCACACUGGAACUGGGACGCGGUCCAGACUCCUACGGGAGGCAGCAGUAGGGAAUCUUCCGCAAUGGGCGAAAGCCUGACGGAGCAACGCCGCGUGAGUGAUGAAGGUCUUCGGAUCGUAAAACUCUGUUAUUAGGGAAGAACAAAUGUGUAAGUAACUAUGCACGUCUUGACGGUACCUAAUCAGAAAGCCACGGCUAACUACGUG